CUUGCCUUAUAUAAGAGGUCUAGCCUGCCCAGUGACAUUGUUCAACGGCCGCGGUAUCCUAACCGUGCGAAGGUAGCGUAAUCACUUGUUCUUUAAAUGAGGACUAGUAUGAAAGGCAUCACGAGAGUCAUACUGUCUCCUCUCUCUAAUCAGUGAAACUAAUCCCCCCGUGAAGAAGCGGGGAUAAAAAUAUAAGACGAGAAGACCCUAUGGAGCUUUAAACAAAUAGUAUAUGCCCUUUUAACUUUAAAUUUCAGAAAAAUCUCUUAUUUUGGUAUAAUAACUUAUAGUUUUUGGUUGGGGUGACCACGGAAUAAAAAACAACUUCCGCAAUGAAAGAUUCCCUUUCACUAAGCUAAGGACUACAGCCCUAUUCAUCAAUAAAUUGACAUAAUUGACCCAACAUGUUGAUCAAUGAAC
This 420-nucleotide ribosomal RNA is filed under the name Adenomera hylaedactyla group sp. ABGD cluster 21. Its description in RNAcentral is "partial large subunit ribosomal RNA". It matches the Rfam family "Bacterial large subunit ribosomal RNA", at positions 1835 to 2354 of the family's 2925-position model. The record is from RNAcentral. Lineage: Eukaryota; Metazoa; Chordata; Amphibia; Anura; Leptodactylidae.